Long non-coding RNA from Peromyscus californicus insignis, 3449 nucleotides. RefSeq lists it as uncharacterized. The record is from RefSeq and is a predicted model, not a curated record. The transcript has 3 exons. NCBI's taxonomy places the organism in Eukaryota, Metazoa, Chordata, Mammalia, Rodentia, Cricetidae.
GACCGCGCCUGGCCACGCCCACGGGCCUGAGUGCUCGGCCUUGGUAGUUGUUGAUGGUGAGUGAUCUUCCUAGUCCUCUGAAUCCAUCAACUUAAGCUGUUACUAAAAAUACAGAAAGGUGACUUAAAAAAAAAAAAAACCCUAAAGAUUCCAGAUGCCGGGGACCUGAAAAGGACAAGGGAUGAAGGGACCUGGUUCGGGUCUCUGUAAUAAGCCCUACAGGCUGUGUCCUCCUAGCCAGCGAUGGCUUCUCAGCUUCCUACCAGAAGGGUGUAGGGCGUGCAGCUGUGCCCCGAGGCCUCAUACUUCGAAACUUCAUUUGCAUUGGCUUUUUAGGUGGACCAGGUUUAGAAUUUCUACUCCAGUCCUGGCAAAGACCCUGAAAAGCAAGCUAAAGGUGCACACACGCUUGCUUUGCAGUCCCCUGGUAAAGUUUGUGGCGGUCCUGUGCCCUAGGGAACUACAUCUGAUUUCCUUACACAUCGUUUACUGGACUCAGGUGUUAAGACUUUCUGGAGGAACUUUUGUUCCAACCCAGAAAGACAGAAUGGUUGUCCUACCCGCGGGGCUUGCGGCUGCUACUACCCACACUCCACACCGUCACUCCAUAAAUAAAAGCUACUGUAAUAAUCAUGAGUUCUGAUCUGCACAUCCCCGAUCUCAACUGCUAAUCCAAACAAAAGCUUGUUAACUGUAUUAAUUUAGCCUCACAGAGGGAGAAUAAUGAGAAUAAACAGUCGGUUCUACCUAAUUUCUCACUAGCGCGAACACAUCAUUCUUCAUCUCUAUGGUCCAGCCUGUAGAUUCCAUAAUUAAAUUAUGUACUGCUCUUGGUGGAUACCAGGAAAGCAAAGGGGGGAAAUAUUUCAUUGUUAGCUAUAGAUUUUUUUUUUUUUGGCCUUGAUAAAACUCAGGCUUGAAAGAGCCACAUACAUUAAAGUGAUGAUUUUUUAAUGUCAAGUUAACUUUAGUUGACUAUCACGUUGUCACUAAAAUUCAUUAUGUCCCGAGCGAGUGGUUUCUCUUCCUCCGUCCACUGCAUGGUCUCUGUCACCCUCAUCAAUAGUCCUUGGGCCUUGUUGGGUUCAUUUCUCUUCUUACCAACAUCCAACUAAUACAUCACCAGUUGCUGCUGGUCCUUCAACCACAGCAUCAUUAAGCUUUCUUCCUUCCUCUGCCGAGUAAAGACUGUCAUACAUAAUUUAGUUACUUCUCAUCGUUCUCCAUUUUGGUCAGCUCACACACUCCUCCUCUGCAAUAAAUUCAGGACCCUGCUUGCUGCAAACAAGUUACCCUCACUGUUGCUACAUUCUGCUGAAAGCCCUCCUCUCAAAGAGGGCAUCAUCAUUCAUAAUCCAGGAAACGCUCCUGAUUCAUGGUUUCACAACUAGAGGUUUUCAAAUUUUCUGCACCAACAGUAAAACCAGACAGCCAAGUGAGAAAAAUGCCUGCCUUCCCAUGUCUUGCUCAUUAACACCUUGUAACUCCAAGCGUGACUGUAAGUGUUAAAUCUCUUGCUAAUACCUUACAUUUUGGCUUAUAAUUUGAGGCUCUUGCUUCACCCACCACAUAGACAUAGAGGUUUGCUCUAUUUUCAGCCAUAUCUAGAUUUCAGCUCCCUAGGCAAGGUGAGGGGAUGUCACAAGGGAUAAACAGCAUCAAUAUGGUCCCAAGGGCUCUCUGGUCAGACUUUGGCCCACUCCUCUGCUUAUGGAACAUCAGGUUAUCUGUAUAUUACAUUACUUAGAAUGUAUUUCAGUACUUCAGGAGUGUGGGGGCCCCAGACUGAAAAGACCAGUCAAAGUAAAAUUCUUCUGAGGCUACCCGGAAAGGGACUUGGAUCGCAUUCAUAGAUAUUGGUCCUACCAAGAUACCACCUAACAAUUCUCCUACCUCUUUUGUUUGCCAAGAAGGGAAGUUUUUCUUUUUAACCAAAGAAACAGAGGCGGAAGUAUAGGAAGUAGUCAAUAUGCACGUCAAGUUUGUUAUGGGGGGAGAACACAGGGCUUUAGUCGGGCCAGACUAUGAAUUACUUCAUAGUACCCUAGUGACCUUCGAAGCAUACUUACCUGGGCUUCUGUUGAAUUAAUGGUAUGCAUUUAAUCAUUUUGAAGAAAUAAUUUUCUACCAUAUACUAGUGCUGCAAGAAUCACAAUACACAAACAGUUCUUGUUACUACCUGGUAAAUGAAGAAUAAAUGAACUUUGAUGCUGCAUUUAACAUGUGAAUGUUCUAAGUAGCUCAUUGAAAUAUUCUUCUUUUUACUUGAGUCUGUCGGUCUGUCUAUCUAUCCACCUACUUAACCUCUCUCUCCAACCAUCUGUCUCUGUCAUUUACUUUGAGCAAGGGUCUUGGGUAUCCAGGCUGGCCUAUAAUUUACUUCGUUGCUGAGAUGACCUUCAUCUUCCUGACUCUACCUUCCCGGUGCUGGGAGUACAGAUUUGUCAAGCAGCGCGUAGGCUUUCAGUGUCGUGCGAGAAGAGAUAAUGCCUCGUGUGGAACCGCCACUUACGCUGCGUCUGCGGAAGUGCCGCCCUGAACAGACGUGACCAGAUGGCUGGUUUUACAGAAAUAUGAAUGAUCUCAUUAAACACACCCUCCGCUCUGGGGUCACCAUGGAUCUCCUGAGAGGUCAUGGACAAGAUGAGGAAAUACCAGCCCUGGAAGAUUGCUGGCCUUGCCGCAGUCCACACCGCUGGUCUGCGAGAUUUCUCUCCCAUCCCACUCUCGCAGACUCUAUGCAUCAAACCGCAGCCCUUCACUGCUGCGGAUGGACGCCCCUGUGGAAGGAACCGUGUGAAGACUUCAAGGAACAGAAGGUCAAAUCGGCCUCCGUGCGCUCUCUUUGUCUAAGAGAGACCGAUGUCAUGUGUUUGCAAUAUUAAUGAUUAAGUAGCAACGAAAGAGGUGUCCCCAAACAGAGCAGGAUUACUUGGAGGUUCGGGGUGUCUUCUGCAUCAAAAGCAAAGCCCCUACUGCCUAUCUAAACAGUAGGCUAUGAGCACAGGGCUACCCCUACUCCGCUCAGUAUCGCUUUUUAACAUCCUAAACAAUUCAUAAGCCACCUUCACUGGACCAGAGCGGGUACGCAUAAAAUAACCAAGACAGAAAGAAUAAGAGCAGACAUAGAGAUCAUUCGCAUUUUAAUUGUGAUGGCAUGUGCCUAUAAUUCAAAGAGGCUGGGGGCUGGAGGAUCAUGAGUUCAAAGCCACCCUGGGCUAAUCAAUACCUUUAAAUUAAGCCAGCCUAGAUUACAUAGAAAGACUCUGUCUCAGAAGAAAAAGGACAAAUAAAAAUAAUUGAGCCGGGCGGUGGUGGCGCACGCCUUUAAUCCCAGCACUCGGGAGGCAGAGCAAGGCGGAUCUCUGUGAGUUCGAGGCCAGCCUGGUCUCCAAAGCGAGUUCCAGGAAAGGCACAAAGCUACACAGAGAAACCCUGUCUCGAAAAAC